UACGGUCGGGUGAUGAUCACAAGUGCAUAGUUCAAAUGAUUAAUCUGUGAUUACUUGAACAAAUAGUCUUUCGCUACUUACUGACGGCCUAU
Molecule: non-coding RNA, 92 nt
Organism: Brachypodium distachyon (stiff brome)
Lineage: Eukaryota; Viridiplantae; Streptophyta; Magnoliopsida; Poales; Poaceae
Source: Rfam